This 412-nucleotide long non-coding RNA is filed under the name Malus domestica (apple). RNAcentral describes it as "long non-coding RNA (MDOM_LNC016491)". The record is from RNAcentral. Lineage: Eukaryota; Viridiplantae; Streptophyta; Magnoliopsida; Rosales; Rosaceae.
UUGAAUAAACACAAGCCCAAAUACUUUGCAAAAUGUUUCAAAGAAUUCAAGAAAUGUAAGUUGAUGAGUAAGACAUCUAAAGUAUUUACCUUCUUAGAUUUGAUCCAAGGAAAGGUAACACUUUAGAUGAGUUUCCUUGAAAAAUAUCAAGGAAAAUAGCAUCAUAAGAUAAUGUAUUUCUCCAUUAGGAGAAGAACGAACUCGAAUAAGAUUUAGUUCGUUAGUUGUUAUCUAUUACCCAUAUAUAGGAUAUAUACUUCUAAGACAAUAUGAUUGUCAAUUAGAAGAUCUUCCAAUAUUUUCAUGACUCCAUGAGAUGUAGUUGGAAAGAAAGACAAAAUCUUAAAACAUGUUAAGAUUUGGGGUUGUGUGCUAAUAAGCAAUAUUUGUUUGAUAACAAUCUUGUGGGAUA